This 80-nucleotide transfer RNA is filed under the name Blumeria graminis f. sp. tritici. It matches the Rfam family "tRNA". From Rfam's summary of the family: Transfer RNA (tRNA) molecules are approximately 80 nucleotides in length. Their secondary structure includes four short double-helical elements and three loops (D, anti-codon, and T loops). Further hydrogen bonds mediate the characteristic L-shaped molecular structure. tRNAs have two regions of fundamental functional importance: the anti-codon, which is responsible for specific mRNA codon recognition, and the 3' end, to which the tRNAs corresponding amino acid is attached (by aminoacyl-tRNA synthetases). tRNAs cope with the degeneracy of the genetic code in two manners: having more than one tRNA (with a specific anti-codon) for a particular amino acid; and 'wobble' base-pairing, i.e. permitting non-standard base-pairing at the 3rd anti-codon position. RNAcentral also lists the same sequence under 1 other name. Lineage: Eukaryota; Fungi; Ascomycota; Leotiomycetes; Helotiales; Erysiphaceae. The record is from Rfam by way of RNAcentral.
GGGCUCGUGGUUUAGUGGUAUAAUACUCCCUUAGCACAAUGGAAUGGGAGUGGUCCGGGGUUCGAUUCCCCGCGAGUCCA